RNAcentral lists this ribosomal RNA (234 nucleotides) under Clostridioides difficile. RNAcentral's name for it is "partial 23S ribosomal RNA". It matches the Rfam family "Bacterial large subunit ribosomal RNA", at positions 408 to 644 of the family's 2925-position model. Lineage: Bacteria; Bacillati; Bacillota; Clostridia; Peptostreptococcales; Peptostreptococcaceae. The record is from RNAcentral.
CAGAGUACCACGGGACACGUGAAACCCUGUGGGAAGCAGGAGGGACCACCCUCCAAGGCUAAAUACUACCUAGUGACCGAUAGCGUAUAGUACCGUGAGGGAACGGUGAAAAGAACCCCGGGAGGGGAGUGAAAUAGAACCUGAAACCCUGCACUUACAAGCUGUGGAAGCACAUUUCUUGUGUGACCGCGUACUUUUUGUAGAACGGGCCAACGAGUUACGUUAAGUAGCAAG